AGUCUAGGGGUAUAGUUCUUCGGAGCUAGAGACCGGCGCACGGGUGCGUAACGCGUAUGCAAUCUACCUUUUACAGAGGGAUAGCCCAGAGAAAUUUGGAUUAAUACCUCAUAGUAUAAUGACUUGGCAUCAAGACAUUAUUAAAGUCACAACGGUAAAAGAUGAGCAUGCGUCCCAUUAGCUAGUUGGUAAGGUAACGGCUUACCAAGGCUACGAUGGGUAGGGGUCCUGAGAGGGAGAUCCCCCACACUGGUACUGAGACACGGACCAGACUCCUACGGGAGGCAGCAGUGAGGAAUAUUGGACAAUGGGCGCAAGCCUGAUCCAGCCAUGCCGCGUGCAGGAUGACGGUCCUAUGGAUUGUAAACUGCUUUUAUACGAGAAGAAACACUACUUCGUGAAGUAGCUUGACGGUAUCGUAAGAAUAAGGAUCGGCUAACUCCGUGCCAGCAGCCGCGGUAAUACGGAGGAUCCAAGCGUUAUCCGGAAUCAUUGGGUUUAAAGGGUCCGUAGGCGGUUUAGUAAGUCAGUGGUGAAAGCCCAUCGCUCAACGGUGGAACGGCCAUUGAUACUGCUGAACUUGAAUUAUUAGGAAGUAACUAGAAUAUGUAGUGUAGCGGUGAAAUGCUUAGAGAUUACAUGGAAUACCAAUUGCGAAGGCAGGUUACUACUAAUUGAUUGACGCUGAUGGACGAAAGCGUGGGUAGCGAACAGGAUUAGAUACCCUGGUAGUCCACGCCGUAAACGAUGGAUACUAGCUGUUGGGAGCAAUCUCAGUGGCUAAGCGAAAGUGAUAAGUAUCCCACCUGGGGAGUACGUUCGCAAGAAUGAAACUCAAAGGAAUUGACGGGGGCCCGCACAAGCGGUGGAGCAUGUGGUUUAAUUCGAUGAUACGCGAGGAACCUUACCAAGGCUUAAAUGUAGAUUGACCGGUUUGGAAACAGAUCUUUCGCAAGACAAUUUACAAGGUGCUGCAUGGUUGUCGUCAGCUCGUGCCGUGAGGUGUCAGGUUAAGUCCUAUAACGAGCGCAACCCCUGUUGUUAGUUGCCAGCGAGUCAUGUCGGGAACUCUAACAAGACUGCCAGUGCAAACUGUGAGGAAGGUGGGGAUGACGUCAAAUCAUCACGGCCCUUACGCCUUGGGCUACACACGUGCUACAAUGGCCGGUACAGAGAGCAGCCACUGGGCGACCAGGAGCGAAUCUAUAAAACCGGUCACAGUUCGGAUCGGAGUCUGCAACUCGACUCCGUGAAGCUG
This 1258-nucleotide ribosomal RNA is filed under the name Bacteroidetes bacterium RBE2CD-132. RNAcentral's name for it is "bacterial SSU rRNA". It matches the Rfam family "Bacterial small subunit ribosomal RNA", at positions 60 to 1328 of the family's 1533-position model. Lineage: Bacteria; Pseudomonadati; Bacteroidota. The record is from RNAcentral.